Molecule: small nuclear RNA, 183 nt
Filed under: Cricetulus griseus (Chinese hamster)
Lineage: Eukaryota; Metazoa; Chordata; Mammalia; Rodentia; Cricetidae
Description: 7SK RNA
Rfam family: 7SK RNA
About the family: 7SK was discovered as an abundant small nuclear RNA in the mid-70s but a possible function has only recently been suggested. Two independent studies have found that 7SK RNA binds the CDK9/cyclin T complex (known as elongation factor P-TEFb).
Source: Rfam by way of RNAcentral
GGAUGUGAGGGCGAUCUGGCUGAGACACCUGUCACCCCAUUGAUCGCCAGGGCUGAUUCGCUGAUCUGGCUGGCUAGGCGGGUGUUCCUUCCUCCCUCACCGCCCCAUGUGCGUCCACUGCACUACUGGGUUCAAGGGAGGGUUAAGAAUAUAAGCCCAGCAAGAAAAAAAACUUUGUUUUAC